RNAcentral lists this transfer RNA (75 nucleotides) under Burkholderiaceae bacterium. RNAcentral's name for it is "tRNA-Cys". It matches the Rfam family "tRNA". From Rfam's summary of the family: Transfer RNA (tRNA) molecules are approximately 80 nucleotides in length. Lineage: Bacteria; Pseudomonadati; Pseudomonadota; Betaproteobacteria; Burkholderiales; Burkholderiaceae. The record is from RNAcentral.
GGCGGAAUGGCAGAGUGGUGAUGCAUGAGAUUGCAAAUUUCAACACCCUAGUUCGAUUCUAGGUUUCCGCCUCCA